UGAUGUAAGUGUCUCAAGUAUAAAUUGCGUUUGUGCUCGCGCAAAUUAGCCCUUUAUACUUUUUGACACGCCGAACACCGAAAACGAAAUAUAAUGGUGUGUACACGCCCUUUUAUUUCGUGUUCGGUGUUCGAGGAUAGCGGGAAUUGCGUAUGCCUGGAGCAAUCCGGUUACAUCA
RNAcentral lists this non-coding RNA (178 nucleotides) under unclassified sequences. RNAcentral's name for it is "Clostridiales-1 RNA". It matches the Rfam family "Clostridiales-1 RNA". RNAcentral also lists the same sequence under 1 other name. The record is from RNAcentral.